GUAAAAAUCCACAAAUGGAAUUCACACCAGGCACAUGGUUAGGCACAGUGGAAUAUUAUGCAGCCAUUACAAAUAUUUACAAGGAAUUUUAAAUUACAUCAAAAAUAUUAUUUAACAUUCAUUGAUACAGGUGUUCAAAGGGGCAUAUAGGAUAAGAAGGCAAGUACGUUAGAAAUAUACAUACAUAGGCCGGGCGCAGUGGCUCACGCCUGUAAUCCCAGCACUUUGGGAGGCUGAGGUGGGCAGAUCACGAGGUAAGGAGAUUGAGACCAUCCUGGCUAACAUGGUGAAACCCCGUCUCUACUAAAAAUAAAAAAAAAAUAAAAAAAUAAAAAUUAGCCGGGCAUGGUGGCGGGCGACUGUAGUCAAAGCUACUCGGGAGGCUGAGGCAGGAGAAUGGCUUGAACCCAGGAGGCAGAGCUUGCAGUGAACCAAGAUCGCGCUACUGCACUCCAGCCCGGGCGACAGUGCGAGACUCCAUCUCAAAAAAAAAAAAAAGAAAAAAAGAAAAAAAUAUAUGUGUACCUACAUAGCAUUAAAACAAUUGCAGGAAAGACACCAAAUCUGUUACCAGCAGUUUUCUGGGUUGUGAAAUUUGUAGUUUUUAUUUCAUUAUAUUUUCUGGGUUUUUCUAGGUUUUCAGCAACAAAUACUGACAAAAGGAAAUGAACAGUUUUCAGAGACUUACUUUAAAACAGAGUUAAAGGAAUACACAUGAAAUUGGUAACAGUGGCUGCCUCUGGGGUCGGCACAAAACUGAUCAGGAGUUGGACCAUCUCCUCCCUGGGCAUUUUUCCCUGCAGUAGGGGUGGGCAGGCUGUGGGAGGGGCUGCAGUGGACACUGGGCCUCUGAGCUGGGACCACCUGUGUCCCCUGGGCCUGACACAGACCAGGACCUGAUGCACGAGUAAGAAUGAAUGGGGCCCAAUCGCCUAACAAAGGCAACUCAAUUUCAGCCCCGAUUGUUCCAGAAGGAUUUGCUGUAAGCAACCGGAGAAGUUGGCAUUUGUUCAACAUGGAAAAAGUGUCCCCCAACUUUGAAGCACUGAACCAAACAUCUUUGUUGAGGUUUCAUUCUCACGAUAUCUGCAAAUCAACGUUUUUUCCUUCACACUAAAAACGGGCAACUUUAGAGCCCACUAAAGCUAUACAAAAUUGGGAGGGGGCAUGCUCUGAUUUUCCAUUUUUAGUUCCAGGGUCCGUAUGCAGGACUUAUUUGCAGGAAGAGCAGGAAUGAUCAGUUCAACAAGAAAAGCCACACUCAGUUUUCACAGACAGACAACCCCUCCUUCCCACCCCUGCCCUGUCCCCCAUCAACUUAAGUGGCAUAUAAAUGAUUAAAGUGGCUUCAUUAACUCCAGGAGUGUGGCCUGUGCUAGGGCACCUGAUUUGUGCUAGACGAGGCCAGCAGAAGAGCAAUCGCUCUGCAAGAGAAAGGCUCGGCCCUUCCUUAAUCACCAUGGGUUAUAAUUCACCCUGACGUCCUUACACACAUGGAGGUGCCAGGAUACUGAGCUUUCCUAUAAGCAGGGCCUCAGCAGAAGUGCCUCCCUCCGAGCCUCCAGGGCCUGAGAGGAGAGCCCC
Molecule: long non-coding RNA, 1584 nt
Filed under: Homo sapiens (human)
Lineage: Eukaryota; Metazoa; Chordata; Mammalia; Primates; Hominidae
Description: HSALNT0258140
Source: RNAcentral